RNAcentral lists this long non-coding RNA (683 nucleotides) under Marmota monax (woodchuck). The record is from RNAcentral. Lineage: Eukaryota; Metazoa; Chordata; Mammalia; Rodentia; Sciuridae.
UGGUGACAAGUUCAAAUGCUCAAAAAGAAGAGGUUGAGGAGGCAAAAUCACAGGGGAAUGUCCAGUGGGAGCCUGGCUAAACUACUCUGAGUGAUUGACGUUAGCAUAGGAAUGUCCUGGAAUCUUUGAAAUUUAUAUACAAAACCAGGAACCAGUCACUGUCUUUGACACUUUAUUAUUAGUAAUACAUUUCUUGCAGCAUCCUUUUCAGUUGACCCUCUAGUCUGUAUUACAUAUAUUAUCAGAUAGUUUUAUGCUACUUUGUGAUUUUAGGUAAUUAUUUUGAGAAUGUAAAACACCUAUAGAACCAAUGUAUCUCAUCGAUGAGCACCGCAGAGGGCAUUGUUAUUCCUACUGGUUGAACUUGAAUAAAACUCAUCAAUCACCAGUAGUCCUUUGAAAAAACUGGUAGCCAAAUGCUGGUUCAAGUUUUAUUACUCUUAUGGUAGAUAAUGAUUAUUCAUAAAAUUGGUUGUUUUCUAGGUGUUCUCUUGAACCCCACCGUGGAGCGUUGUAAUAAAACUCUUCUCUUAGAUUGUCCCAUUGAAGAACAGAAAGGAAUGACCUUGCUCCUCUCUGAAUUUUGCUUCUCUUGGGUUUGUGCUCUCACAAAACCUGCAGUGGAGAAGCUACUCAAGGAGAAGCAGAGAAACCGUCUGCCUGGGCAUCUUGUCUUGGCUGUU